RNAcentral lists this ribosomal RNA (484 nucleotides) under uncultured bacterium. RNAcentral describes it as "partial 16S ribosomal RNA". It matches the Rfam family "Bacterial small subunit ribosomal RNA", at positions 29 to 523 of the family's 1533-position model. The record is from RNAcentral.
AGUGAACGCUGGCGGCGUGCUUAACACAUGCAAGUCGAACGAGAACGGGUUAUAGCUUGCUAUAAUUGUCAGCUAAGUGGCGCACGGGUGAGUAAUGUAUAGGUAAUAUGCCUCUUACUAAGGGAUAACAAAUGGAAACGUUUGCUAAUACCUUAUACUCCUUAUUAACAUAAGUUAAUAAGGGAAAGAUUUAUUGGUAAGAGAUUAGCCUGUAUUGUAUCAGUUAGUUGGUGGGGUAAUGGCUUACCAAGACUAUGACACAUAACUGGUUUGAGAGGAUGAUCAGUCACACUGGAACUGGGACACGGUCCAGACUCCUACGGGAGGCAGCAGUGGGGAAUAUUGCACAAUGGACGAGAGUCUGAUGCAGCAACGCCGCGUGGAGGAUGACACAUUUCGGUGCGUAAACUCCUUUUAUAUGAGAAGAUAAUGACGGUAUUAUAUGAAUAAGCACCGGCUAACUCCGUGCCAGCAGCCGCUGUAC